UCCCGUCCCGCGCGCGGCCGCCGCAUCCGUCCGGGCCUCCUCGUCUCCCCAGCCCCGCUGCCGCCGGGUUCAUCAGCAGAAGCUGCUUGCUCCGCCGCCGCCCUCUUCCUCCUCUACUGUUGCAAGAUAAAACAGUUGAAGAAAGUACAGAUGUUGUGACUGGAAACAUAUCUGGUUUUCCUGCCAGCCAAUUUGAUCAUAGUGCAUGGGCAUACAAGGGUGCCAUGGUCAGGAAUAUGCCAGAUGACCCGUCCCAGUCACAACAUCUCGUUCAAGAAGAUUUAGUUGAUGUAUUUGACAUUUUGGAUGACCUGAAGAAUGACCCUGUACAGCGUGAUUUGUUGAAAGAAGUCGAGAAACACGAUGUAAAGAAUGUUUCUACAUUUGGUUCUACUGAAAGGAGCAUCCCCCUGUCCCAAGGUUUCACGAUGCCCCGGUUGUACCUGAUGACACUGACAUUCAGUACACACCUCCUCAGCCACGAGCGACACGUUCUCAAGCUCAACCUCUGAAAUCUUCGCUCCGUACCAAUGAGACUAGGCAGAUUAGGAAAGGCCAGAAGAAGCUCAAGAAGUCGCCUAAGAAAGUCUCCCAAGAUGUUGAGCUUGAUGACAAUGGUUUCCCCAUCAUCGACUUUGCUGCUCUAGACCGUUUUGAUCCUCCUCCACAUCUUGCCGUGGAUGUUGAGAGUUAUGGUGGACCAGCUGCCUCAGGUUGAUAUGGUGGACUCGUGUCACUAUUCAGACCUGAAUGGCGUCGCAAAGUGGCUGCAAAGCAGGCAGCUUUGAGGAUGGUGGCAGAAAUUCUUGAGAAGAGGAUUGCUCACCCACAGUUGACAUACUUUACAUAUGUUGAAAAGUUCCUUCCUGAGGAUGAUCCAGAAGAUGUGAUUGCUUUGGAGUACAACCUAAUUGGCAGUAAGCAGAUUUAUGAAGCAUGUGCAGAUGGCGAAAUGAGAAGCAAUGACCAAGUGUACUACUACACCAUCUGCAUAGCUAAUGAAGACAAGCUCUUCAGGACCGAAGCUGCCGAUUACAGAAUUUUCCUUCCUACCAAUCUGUCAGUAAGUAGUAGCAUUUUUGAUUUUUAUAGUAUGCAAUAUGCAUUAGUUUUUUAUACCUUUUUUUCUUUCUAAAUUCUUCAUUUAUCAAUAUCUUUUCAGCACCAGCUACUAUGUACAGUACAACAGGGCAUGUCUUGCCCUUCUACUCAUUGCCCUGCAGCCCUAUAUGGCCAGGCAGUAGGCACUUGAGGAGUUCUACCAACUCCAUUGACUUUGCUAGAAAGAGACAAAGAUAGGAGCUAAGCAAUUACUCAACAAUUCUUCCCCUAAUUGUGAUGCUCCUUCUUGAUCUCCUCCACUCCCACCUUGUUCCUCAAUUCCUGGAGCCAAAGACGCCCAAGGGGCUUGGUGAGAAGGUCACCGUCUCACCGAGCUGUCGAGCCGUCUCGACAUACUCGAUCUUGAUCCGUGCUUCCUCAAUGCAGCCCCUGAUGAAAUGGAACUUGGUGUCGAUGUGCUUGCUGCAGUGGAGGAUGGGGUUCUUUGCCAAAGAAAUGGCAGACUUGUUGUCCACCAGCAGGACCGGCGCCCGGAGCUCUUCUCCGGUGAGCUCCUUGAGCAGUCGCGCCAGCCAAACUCUCUAGCAACAAGCUGUGGCGGUGGCAAUAUACUAUGCCUCGUAGGUGGAGAGUGCCACCACCUUCUGCUUCUGGGAUUACCAUGAAAUUGCGCACAAUCUGAG
RNAcentral lists this unclassified non-coding RNA (1745 nucleotides) under Zea mays. RNAcentral's name for it is "misc RNA Zm00001eb033350". Lineage: Eukaryota; Viridiplantae; Streptophyta; Magnoliopsida; Poales; Poaceae. The record is from RNAcentral.